CGCGACUUCCAAGAACUCCCCGCGUAGUCAGUUGCCCGGGCCACGCCCCCUUUCCGGACCCGCCCUGCCCGCCCCAGGGAGGCGGGGGCGGAGCUUGCGGCCCAGCGGGAAGGCGGAGGCGGGGGUCGCGCCCAGGUCCCGGGGGCGUCAGAGGCAAUGGGAAGUCGUGGCUUCUGCACCGCCCUUGGGGGUUCGGCUCCCAAUCAGGGAAAAAGGGCCGAGAGAAUGAAAGAGUAAUGAGACUUGCGAGUUUGAGGCUCACACUACUCUUUGGGUUGGGGGUUGCUGAAGCCUCCACGUGUAUUCAGGGAGCCCCGAACCUCACACCUCUGUCCAGGGGAGCUCAGAACCCGCGUGUUCUGGAAAGCCUACACCUUCCCCGGUUUCUUAGUGUCUAGGGGAGCCCACAACCCUCACAGCCGUGUCUAGUGGCGCUCAGAUCCACACACCUGUGUUUGGGGGAGCCCAGAUCUUCUCUACCUGUGUCCAGAUGAGUUCAGAGCCCCCACGUUUGUCCAGGAAAGCCCACCUCUGUCCACAAGCGCUCUGACUAGGACCUUUCCUGUUUCCUGAGGCUCAGCCUAGGGGGUCAUCCCACCCACGUCUGUGUUAAGGGGAGCUUGUGUCUCCCCAAACAUGUCCAAGUGAGCUGAGCUCAGGAGCUGAGGCCUCCCCAUAUCGUGCUCCCCGCCUAGCCCUUUGGUGAAUCCCUUUCUCAGAAGAAACCCUCAGGGGCCCUAGCCCUGCUGCCCUUCCCUGCACUGUCUUCGAGCCUCCUGGCCCAAUUGGCCCCUCCCCCAGUACACUGUUGAGUCUUAGUUAAGACAUAAUCCCAGCAUUCACUGUCCCCCAUCCCCCAGCUCUCCCGCACCUCGGCGGCUGGCCGGGCCCCCGGGGGUGCCGUCAUCCCAGCCGGCUGGCCACCCGACUGGCACCAAUUAAUUUCCUCCUCGGCCUGUCCACCCAGGGCCUCGGCCUGUCUGGUUGCCAGCUGCUCACCCUCAGCCAGCCCGCCCCCUCGGGCUCCCAGGGAAUUGCCAACAGUUCUCCUUCCUGCAACCCCCCCACCCCCAAUCCAGGCCACCCCACCCAGCACAGUUAAUCAGAAAAAGCUGACAGGGAGUGAUCUGAAAUCAGAUGGAGGAGGGGUGGGAUGUUAAACUUUCGGACCCAGGGAUGCUUGGGGUGGAGCGGGGGCAUGGCUGGAGGGAGGCAGAGGAUCCAGUUUUACCUAAGAACCCCAUAUCAAAGGCUUUUAGCUUCCAGAUGGGGACUGCAGGGAGGGCUGACCCCCUCCCACAUACACCAGGCGGGCAAGGUGGAGCGCCCCCCCCCCGCCCAAGGUGCGUCAGUGACAGCUGUGCCUCCCCAGCCCGCACCCAGCCGGUUUCCUUUUCCUGUGCACACUCUCCCGAUGGGCUGGCCUUCAGCCUGGAGAGACUCCACGGCCCCUUGGAAGGGGCUCCCCAGAGGGUCUUCCUGGACGAGGGGGAGGGGACAGGCUGAAGAACAAUGGGGCUUCUGUGGCUGCAGGACGCCAGGCACUUCCUGUUAACCCUUUCCUCGGGGUGCAGCUGCAGGGAGCACCUCCCAGGUCCCGCCUUGUGGGAAGGGGCAGAGGCAGCCCGAGGGGAAAUCUUGUUUCGGGAAUUAACUGUUGUGUUAAUUGAGGCUUUUGUGAGUGUGCUUAGGAGGGGUGAGGUGAAUCACACCUUUUCUCACUUGAUGGAGUUACAGGGCUUUCUCCUCUAUUGCUGAGGGCUGUGCAGUCAGGGACGGGGCAGGGCUAGCCUGGGAGAAGCCUGUGCACUGAGCUCAGAGACGUUCAAGGCUUUUCCCCAGAUAGGUUACACCAGGAUCUCCAGGGCAUGGACAGGGAUGGGGUCGGGGAACCCAGGCAUCCUAGGUGAAUCCAAGGAACAGCCAUGUCUGCAAACCACUGUUCUAGCUGCCUUGCUGGGCUUAUCUAGGGGCCACGAUCCCUGAGUCAGUUCCCUUGGCAGCCUGGGUCUCAGUUUCCCUUGGCUUGUAGAAGUUCUCCCAAGGGCCUACCAAGAGGACACGGCAGUCUAGGAGCUCCCUAAGGGGCAGGAGUGGGCUGGGAGCCUUGGAAAUGGUUUGUUUCUCCUGGGAGCCCUGAGAAGUCAUGUUGGGGGAAUUAACUGCUGUGUUAAUUGAGGCUUCAAGCCAAGUCCCCUCUGUUUACACAGAGAGUCUGAGAAAUGCCCUCGGAAGAUUCCGAGAGCCUCCAAAGGCCCUGGGGCCUUUGCUUCUGCCCUGGAGGCUUCCGGUUUUUUACAGGUAAGAUAACCUCUCCCAUAGUCAAGAGAGAGACUUACUGAUGCUUAUGGCAGCCCCAGGCCCUGAAGGUAUGCUGUACUUCGUCACUUCCAUGCAUUUGUUUAAUCCUCACCACAAGCCUGGGUCAGGAUAAAAAGUAGGCACUUCACUCUUUUUUUUUUUUAGGGGUCUUGCUAUGUUGCCCAGGAUGGUCUUUAACUCCUGGGCUCAAGUGAUCCUCCCGCCUUCGGCCUUCCAAAGUGCUGAGGUUACAGGAAUGAGCCACCGUGCCCAGCCCAGCCCUAAAGUAGGCCUUUUUUUCCCCCCGUGACGGAGUUUCACUCUUGUUGCCCAGGCUGGAGUGCAAUGGCAUGGUCUCAGCUCACCGCAACCUCUGCCUCUGGGUUCAAGUGAUUCUCCUGCCUCAGCCUCCUGAGCAGCUGGGAUUACAGGCAUGGGCACCAUGCCCGGCUAAUUUUAUAUUUUUAGUAGAGAGGGGGGGUUUCGCCAUGUGGGUCUCGAACUCUCAACCUCAGGUGAUCCGCCCGCCUUGGCCUCCUAAAGUUCUGGGAUUACAGGUGUGAGCCACCACGCUCGGCCUUUUUUUUUCCCUUCUGAAGUGGAGUCUUGUUCUGUUGCCCAGGCUGGAGUGCAGUGACGCGAUAUCAGCUCAUUGAACCCUCUGCCUCCCAGGUUCAAGCAAUUCUCCUGCCUCAGCUUCCCAAGUAGAUGGGAUUACAGGCAUGCACCGCCACGCCCAGCUAAUUUUUGUAUUUUUAGCAGAGAUGGGGUUUCACCAUGUUGGCCAGGCUGGUCUUGGAACUCCUGACCUCAGGUGAUCUGCCUGCCUCAGCCUCCCAAAGUGCUGAGAUUACAGGUGUGAGCCACUGUGCCCCACCAGGUAGGCACUUUCAUUAGCCCCAUUUUACAGAUGAGGGAACUGAGGGGAACUGAGGCACAGAGUGGUUAAACAAAGUGUCCCGGGUUACCCUGUCCAGUAAAGCAAAGCCCAUUGACAUUCUUCCUCUCCUGGAUUUUUUUUUUUUUUUUUUGAGACGGAGUCUUGCUCUGUCGCCCAGGUGGGAGUGCAAUGGCCCAAUCUUGGCUCACUGAAAGCUCCGCCUCCCAGGUUCAAGCAAUUCUCCUGCCUCAGCUUCCUGAGUAGCUGGGAUUACAGGCGUGCACCACUGUGCCCAGCUAAUUUUUUUUUUUUUUUUUUUUUUUUUUUUUUUUUUUAGUAGAGACGGGGGUUUCACCAUGUUGGUCAGGCUGGUCUCGAACUCCUGACCUCAUGAUCUGCCUGCCUCGGCCUCCCAAAGUGCUGGGAUUACAGGUGUGAGCCACCACGCCCGGCCGGAUUUUUCUUCUUUUCUUUUCUUUUCGGCGGGGAGGAGGAGAGUGUGAGGACCUUUGUCCUGGUUGGUGAACUUUUGCUUAAACCCAGCUUCUAUCUCUGGUUCUCAGAUAAGGAACCAGCUCCUUCUGGGAGCUGAGAGCCGCACCCCAGGUCUCCUUGCCACUCCUGGGCUACCUGUUUUCUCUUUCCUCAUAUCCAGGGCUGAUCACUCACCAGGUUCCCUCUUAGAAUCAUUUGCCAGGUCACUUCAUUUUCCUCUCUUCUCCCCUUUCUGCAGGAUGAACACUUCCCCAGGGGUCAAUCUGUGCACGCUCAGUCCAGGGGCUGGGUAAAGACAAAGUUUUUUGUUUGCUGUUGUUCACUUGUUUAUUUAAAUUUAUUUAUUUUGAGAUGGAGUCUCGUUCUGUCACCCAGGCUGGAGUGCAAGGCGCGAUCUCGGCUCACUGCAACCUCCGCCUCCCGGGUUCAAGCAAUUCUCUGCCUCAGCCUCCUGAGGAGCUGGGAUUACAGGUGUGCACCACCAUGCCCGGCUAAUUUUUGUAUUUUUAGUAGAGAUGUGGUUUCACCAUCUUGGCCAGGCUGAUCUUGAACUUCUGACUUCGUGAUCCACCUGUCUCAGCCUCCCAAAGUGCUGGGAUUACAGGCGUGAGCCACUGCGCCCCACCCUCACUUGUUUAUUUACUUGUUUUGUAAACAUUAUUUACUGAGCAUGAUCAAACUGCUAGACUGGAGAGGCUGCUGCAAUCUCCUCCCUCUGCCCCAGCCAUUUCCCGGUACCCAUCCUUGCUGGUGGUGUCUGCAAUCAGUGGGGCCCUGGCUGAGUUCACGGGAAAGGAAAUGGCUCAUUGCUUCAGCCUUUAGACCGGGGGGCAGGGAGGGCCUGUCGGGAGACCGCCUAGUCAGGGGCGUGUCAGAGGCCAGAGGGGCUGGGGCCCAGCAGCUGGGGCUUGGUUAAGCUCUGGAGCCUGGGCUCCAGGCCAGCUCGCUGCCAACCUCCACCUGAGACCACCCCACCCCCAACCCCCUUCCUUCUCUCCCCUGCUGCCGAGGCGCGCCCUUCCGGAGUGAAACUUUGUUUGGUUUCUCACGACCCGGAAGGCUUGAAGCAAACCUGCAAUUACUCACUGCCUGGUCUGUGCGGGCUGCAGCUCUCAGACUCAGGAUGAGGUGGCGAUAUGCGGUCUUGCUAUGUUGCUGAGGCUGGUCUCCAAUUCCUGAUUUCAAGUGAGCCUCCUGCCUCUGCCUCCCAAAGUACUGUGAUGAGCUACUACGCCUGGUCAUUGUCCCUCUUUCUCAUGACUCUCUGGACAUCCCUGGGGUGGAGGGUGGGGCAGGCACACACAUCCCUCAACUUCCCAGUGGUUCCACGAUGACUAAGCCAGCCCUGUCCCUGAGGCUGGGAGUCUGGAGCUAGGAUCCACCCCCAUGGCCUCAUAUCCCAACCUUGAGCCUGGGUUUCUGGUCAGACUGGACGGGCUAGCUCGGUCUCCUUAACUCUCAGAGUUGCCUUGUCCAGGCCCAGCGGGUCCCACACAGCCAGGCACACCCCACCCCACAGGGCUCCUGGGAAAUUCUCUGCCCCACCCUCAGGCUGCCUCAGACAGACUGAGGUUACCUGUGAUUAUCCCAGAUAACCCGAGUGAGCCCAUCCUCUGCUCUGGGUGGCUCCCUCCCUGGCAGCUGACCUGUAAAUUUUGAAAAGAUGGGGACAAUGCUCAGCGAGGAGGGAUGCUCCUGCUGUCUUCCCUGCUGGCCUGGCCACUCCCCAGACUGGACAGGUCCCUUGGCAGCUCUUCCCAGCAACCCAGGCAGCCCCAAGCCCCCUCUUGCUUGGUGUUCCAGGCCAGUGAGAAUCUCACUUCUUCUCCAAAACUUUGUCUUCCAACUCCUG
Pan troglodytes (chimpanzee) is the source of this 5528-nucleotide long non-coding RNA. RefSeq lists it as uncharacterized. The transcript has 2 exons. The record is from RefSeq and is a predicted model, not a curated record. NCBI's taxonomy places the organism in Eukaryota, Metazoa, Chordata, Mammalia, Primates, Hominidae.